Xiphophorus couchianus (Monterrey platyfish) is the source of this 78-nucleotide long non-coding RNA. RefSeq lists it as uncharacterized. Lineage: Eukaryota; Metazoa; Chordata; Actinopteri; Cyprinodontiformes; Poeciliidae. The transcript is spliced from 3 exons. The record is from RefSeq and is a predicted model, not a curated record.
ACUGGCCUAGUCAAAGUGUUCAAUGGCAGCUCCAUAAAUAAAGACUUUGGAAGAACCACAGUGCUGGUUGAUUGGACC